Molecule: non-coding RNA, 71 nt
Organism: Brassica rapa (field mustard)
Lineage: Eukaryota; Viridiplantae; Streptophyta; Magnoliopsida; Brassicales; Brassicaceae
Source: Rfam
UGGUCCUCAGCUCAGUGGUAGAGCAUUUGACUGCAGAUCAAGAGGUCACCGGUUCAAACCCGUAGGGCCCU